This 74-nucleotide transfer RNA is filed under the name Aureispira anguillae. It matches the Rfam family "tRNA". Rfam says of the family: Transfer RNA (tRNA) molecules are approximately 80 nucleotides in length. Their secondary structure includes four short double-helical elements and three loops (D, anti-codon, and T loops). The record is from Rfam by way of RNAcentral. Lineage: Bacteria; Pseudomonadati; Bacteroidota; Saprospiria; Saprospirales; Saprospiraceae.
GGAUUGGUAGCUCAGUUGGUUAGAGCGUCUGACUGUUAAUCAGAACGUCGCAGGUUCGAGUCCUGCCCAGUCCG